Molecule: ribosomal RNA, 430 nt
Filed under: uncultured Bacteroides sp.
Lineage: Bacteria; Pseudomonadati; Bacteroidota; Bacteroidia; Bacteroidales; Bacteroidaceae
Description: bacterial SSU rRNA
Rfam family: Bacterial small subunit ribosomal RNA
Source: RNAcentral
GAUGAACGCUAGCUACAGGCUUAACACAUGCAAGUCGAGGGGCAGCAUGGUCUUAGCUUGCUAAGGCCGAUGGCGACCGGCGCACGGGUGAGUAACACGUAUCCAACCUGCCGUCUACUCUUGGACAGCCUUCUGAAAGGAAGAUUAAUACAAGAUGGCAUCAUGAGUUCACAUGUUCACGUGAUUAAAGGUAUUCCGGUAGACGAUGGGGAUGCGUUCCAUUAGAUAGUAGGCGGGGUAACGGCCCACCUAGUCUUCGAUGGAUAGGGGUUCUGAGAGGAAGGUCCCCCACAUUGGAACUGAGACACGGUCCAAACUCCUACGGGAGGCAGCAGUGAGGAAUAUUGGUCAAUGGGCGCAGGCCUGAACCAGCCAAGUAGCGUGAAGGAUGACUGCCCUAUGGGUUGUAAACUUCUUUUAUAAAGGAAUA